AACGAACGCUGGCGGCAGGCCUAACACAUGCAAGUCGAGCGAGGACUUCGGUUCUAGCGGCGGACGGGUGAGUAACGCGUGGGAAUGUGCCCUUCUCUACGGAAUAGCCCUGGGAAACUGGGAGUAAUACCGUAUACGCCCUAUUGGGGAAAGAUUUAUCGGAGAAGGAUCAGCCCGCGUUGGAUUAGGUAGUUGGUGGGGUAAUGGCCUACCAAGCCGACGAUCCAUAGCUGGUUUGAGAGGAUGAUCAGCCACACUGGGACUGAGACACGGCCCAGACUCCUACGGGAGGCAGCAGUGGGGAAUCUUAGACAAUGGGGGCAACCCUGAUCUGGCCAUGCCGCGUGAGUGAUGAAGGCCUUAGGGUUGUAAAGCUCUUUCAGCUGGGAAGAUAAUGACGGUACCAGCAGAAGAAGCCCCGGCUAACUCCGUG
Molecule: ribosomal RNA, 433 nt
Filed under: uncultured bacterium
Lineage: Bacteria
Description: partial 16S ribosomal RNA
Rfam family: Bacterial small subunit ribosomal RNA
Source: RNAcentral